This 215-nucleotide long non-coding RNA is filed under the name Lathyrus oleraceus (garden pea). Its description in RNAcentral is "Pisum sativum (pea) long non-coding RNA (PSAT_LNC036645)". The record is from RNAcentral. Lineage: Eukaryota; Viridiplantae; Streptophyta; Magnoliopsida; Fabales; Fabaceae.
AGGUGAAACAUAAAAGAAAAUCUUAGAUCAGAUAGAAAAAUGGGCUCCCCCUGAGUUAGAUCCUUGGAUAACUCAGAUGUUCUUACCGGACCUUCCUUGGUUUAGUGCUUUAGCUACUUUCCUGCAUAUCUUUAGUCAUGAUUUAGUAAUAGUUUAUUGAAAAUGUUUGCAGUGCUUGAGAGGAUUUAGGUAUGUUUUCAUCAAAGUUGUUUUAG